RNAcentral lists this ribosomal RNA (464 nucleotides) under Vreelandella stevensii. RNAcentral describes it as "partial 16S ribosomal RNA". It matches the Rfam family "Bacterial small subunit ribosomal RNA", at positions 338 to 795 of the family's 1533-position model. Lineage: Bacteria; Pseudomonadati; Pseudomonadota; Gammaproteobacteria; Oceanospirillales; Halomonadaceae. The record is from RNAcentral.
CCUAGGGAGGCUGCAGUGGGGAAUAUUGGACAAUGGGGGGAACCCUGAUCCAGCCAUGCCGCGUGUGUGAAGAAGGCCCUCGGGUUGUAAAGCACUUUCAGUGAGGAAGAACGCCUGGUGGUUAAUACCCAUCAGGAAAGACAUCACUCACAGAAGAAGCACCGGCUAACUCCGUGCCAGCAGCCGCGGUAAUACGGAGGGUGCGAGCGUUAAUCGGAAUUACUGGGCGUAAAGCGCGCGUAGGUGGCUUGAUAAGCCGGUUGUGAAAGCCCCGGGCUCAACCUGGGAACGGCAUCCGGAACUGUCAAGCUAGAGUGCAGGAGAGGAAGGUAGAAUUCCCGGUGUAGCGGUGAAAUGCGUAGAGAUCGGGAGGAAUACCAGUGGCGAAGGCGGCCUUCUGGACUGACACUGACACUGAGGUGCGAAAGCGUGGGUAGCAAACAGGAUUAGAUACCCUGGUAGUC